UAACCUCUGAGCUAAGCGGGCCCAAAUCUUAUAUGCAUAGUAAUUGAC
This 48-nucleotide transfer RNA is filed under the name Solanum hirtellum. Its description in RNAcentral is "partial tRNA-Thr". Lineage: Eukaryota; Viridiplantae; Streptophyta; Magnoliopsida; Solanales; Solanaceae. The record is from RNAcentral.